This 72-nucleotide transfer RNA is filed under the name Thermoleophilia bacterium. RNAcentral describes it as "tRNA-Gln". It matches the Rfam family "tRNA". Rfam says of the family: Transfer RNA (tRNA) molecules are approximately 80 nucleotides in length. Their secondary structure includes four short double-helical elements and three loops (D, anti-codon, and T loops). The record is from RNAcentral. Lineage: Bacteria; Bacillati; Actinomycetota; Thermoleophilia.
UGGGGCGUAGCCAAGCGGUAAGGCAACGGGUUUUGGUCCCGUCAUGCGUAGGUUCGAAUCCUGCCGCCCCAG